UUUUCUUCUUCUUCUCCCCA
RNAcentral lists this microRNA (20 nucleotides) under Corchorus capsularis. Its description in RNAcentral is "sRNA CCACVL1_26626". The record is from RNAcentral. Lineage: Eukaryota; Viridiplantae; Streptophyta; Magnoliopsida; Malvales; Malvaceae.